GCCUAACUGGCUAAGUCCAUAGAGCAUGUGACUCUUGAUCUUGGGGUUGUGAGUUCGAGCCCCACGUUGGGUA
This 73-nucleotide transfer RNA is filed under the name Mustela putorius furo (domestic ferret). It matches the Rfam family "tRNA". Rfam says of the family: Transfer RNA (tRNA) molecules are approximately 80 nucleotides in length. Their secondary structure includes four short double-helical elements and three loops (D, anti-codon, and T loops). The record is from Rfam by way of RNAcentral. Lineage: Eukaryota; Metazoa; Chordata; Mammalia; Carnivora; Mustelidae.